GAUGAACGCUGGCGGCGUGCCUAAUACAUGCAAGUCGAGCGAACAGAUGAGGAGCUUGCUCCUCUGACGUUAGCGGCGGACGGGUGAGUAACACGUGGAUAACCUACCUAUAAGACUGGGAUAACUUCGGGAAACCGGAGCUAAUACCGGAUAAUAUAUUGAACCGCAUGGUUCAAUAGUGAAAGACGGUUUUGCUGUCACUUAUAGAUGGAUCCGCGCCGCAUUAGCUAGUUGGUAAGGUAACGGCUUACCAAGGCAACGAUGCGUAGCCGACCUGAGAGGGUGAUCGGCCACACUGGAACUGAGACACGGUCCAGACUCCUACGGGAGGCAGCAGUAGGGAAUCUUCCGCAAUGGGCGAAAGCCUGACGGAGCAACGCCGCGUGAGUGAUGAAGGGCUUCGGAUCGUAAAACGCUGUUAUUAGGGAAGAACAAAUGUGUAAGUAACUAUGCACGUCUUGACGGUACCUAAGCAGAAAGCCACGGCUAACUACGU
Molecule: ribosomal RNA, 496 nt
Filed under: uncultured bacterium
Lineage: Bacteria
Description: partial 16S ribosomal RNA
Rfam family: Bacterial small subunit ribosomal RNA
Source: RNAcentral